UACAGAGGGGGCAAGCGUUGUUCGGAUUUACUGGGCGUAAAGGGCGCGUAGGCGGCCAGCACAAGUCAGUUGUGAAAUCUCCGAGCUUAACUCGGAAAGGUCAACUGAUACUGUGCGGCUAGAGUGCGGAAGGGGCAACUGGAAUUCUUGGUGUAGCGGUGAAAUGCGUAGAUAUCAAGAGGAACACCUGCGGCGAAGGCGGGUUGCUGGGCCGACACUGACGCUGAUGCGCGAAAGCCAGGGGAGCGAACGGG
RNAcentral lists this ribosomal RNA (254 nucleotides) under uncultured bacterium. Its description in RNAcentral is "partial 16S ribosomal RNA". It matches the Rfam family "Bacterial small subunit ribosomal RNA", at positions 524 to 776 of the family's 1533-position model. The record is from RNAcentral.